AUGGUUGUUCAUCUACCUUUAUCCUUGGAAGCUCAGGCAGAAGCCCAUUUACUUAUGUUUUCUCAUAUGAAUCUCUUAUCUCCCGCUAUUGGGGAUCCUAUUUGCGUACCAACCCAAGACAUGCUUAUCGAGCUUUAUGUAUUAAUGAUUGGAAAGCGUCGAGGUAUUUGUGCAAAUAGAUAUAAUAGUUGCAGAAACUAUCCAAAUCUAAAAGUAAAUUACAAUCAUAAUAAUAAUUCUAAAUAUAGGAAAGAUAAAGAACCCCAUUUUUCUAGUUCUUAUGAUGCACUGGGAGUUUAUAGACAAAAACUAAUCAGUUUAGAUAGUCCCUGGGGGGGCCGAGCCAUCAGUGAGAUACCACUCUGGAAGAGCUCAGAUUCUAACCUUGUGUCAGACCCGCGGGCCAAGGGACAGUCUCAGGUAGACAGUUUCUAUGGGGCGUAG
This 444-nucleotide ribosomal RNA is filed under the name Triticum aestivum (bread wheat). RNAcentral's name for it is "partial small subunit ribosomal RNA". Lineage: Eukaryota; Viridiplantae; Streptophyta; Magnoliopsida; Poales; Poaceae. The record is from RNAcentral.